RNAcentral lists this unclassified non-coding RNA (254 nucleotides) under Hevea brasiliensis (rubber tree). The record is from RNAcentral. Lineage: Eukaryota; Viridiplantae; Streptophyta; Magnoliopsida; Malpighiales; Euphorbiaceae.
GGUUAAGCUGAUGUUAAAAUUUGUAAACUUGAAGUUCUUGGUUUUUGGUUUAGAGUCUUAGAUUUGGCCUUUCUAUGUUAGGUAUUGAUUCUAAAAUUGCAGUGGUUGAAGUAAUUGGUUCUAGCAUUGUAAGGCCCUUUUGGCAGAGGUUCUGGGCCAAGAAAAAGCACUAUUUUUAGAUGUUAUUGAGAAAAGUAGUUUAAAAAAAUCUAUUUUGUUAUUUUAGAGUUUGCCAAAUUUAAUUUUAAAUCAAU